GUGUACCACGCGUACACCGCGGUUCCUUCGUACCGUCGACGCCACCUGACGGCCGCUCGUUACGUUUGUUGGCC
This 74-nucleotide small RNA is filed under the name Xanthomonas euvesicatoria. Its description in RNAcentral is "sRNA sX9". It matches the Rfam family "Xanthomonas sRNA sX9". The record is from RNAcentral. Lineage: Bacteria; Pseudomonadati; Pseudomonadota; Gammaproteobacteria; Lysobacterales; Lysobacteraceae.